Molecule: long non-coding RNA, 620 nt
Organism: Ornithodoros turicata
Lineage: Eukaryota; Metazoa; Arthropoda; Arachnida; Ixodida; Argasidae
Exons: 3
Source: RefSeq, a predicted model, not a curated record
UGACGGGGCGUUUUGCGCGAUUCGAUUAUCUUUUUUUUUCAGUUUGGCAAAGAACGGGACAUGGGAACAUGCGCCAAUGCCAUACGGAGUGCAUAUAUAGUACAGAAAACAAUUAUCGGCACUGCCUCUGCGCACCUUCCAGCACAACAGGGAGAGCACUGAUGUUUGGAGGUAUUUUCCCGCCAUUUCCUACGCACGAAGAGCACAGAACGGUCCGGAACGCCUUCCGAAAAUUCUUAUUCUAAAGAUGGUGGCUGUGCCGUCAACCUCUGUUGCCGGUCACGUACUUGCUGCUACUGCUACAAUUUCUACAAUUACCUUUCCUGGGCUAACAAGACUAGAAGUAGCAAAUGAAACAUGAGGUGGACAGGAAGGAGGACCUCCGAAAUUUGGGCUCAGAAAACUGCUCUACCUCUUUUCUAUUUUCAGUGAAAAAAAAGAAAAGAAAAGAGAGAGAGGGAUACUCCUUUUGAGGUCAAAUAACCACGCAUAGUGAGUGAUGCCCUUAAUUCUGCAGGUGGACUGGUACAGGAAGGACUUCCGCAAUGUAGCCUCUGAAAGCAACAAUCUUCUCUGAAGUGUCACUCAAAAAAUAAAAUGCUCCUAUUAAGAUGUAAUUA